GCCGGCGGUCGGUGGCGGCCGCUUCGGUGCUGACAAGAUGGCGGCUGGCGGGGCUGUCGCUGCGGCGCCCGAGUGCCGGCUUCUCCCCUAUGCGCUACACAAGUGGAGCUCCUUCUCCUCCACUUACCUUCCCGAGAACAUUUUAGUGGAUAAACCAAAUGACCAAUCUUCAAGGUGGUCUUCAGAGAGCAACUAUCCUCCCCAGUACUUGAUUCUGAAACUUGAAAGGCCUGCUAUAGUCCAGAACAUCACAUUUGGAAAAUAUGAGAAAACUCAUGUCUGCAAUUUGAAGAAAUUUAAAGUCUUCGGUGGAAUGAAUGAAGAAAAUAUGACAGAGCUAUUGUCCAGUGGCUUAAAGAAUGAUUAUAACAAAGAAACAUUCACCUUGAAGCAUAAAAUUGAUGAACAGAUGUUCCCUUGUCGAUUCAUUAAAAUAGUUCCACUCUUAUCCUGGGGACCCAGCUUUAACUUUAGCAUCUGGUAUGUUGAACUUAGUGGCAUUGAUGAUCCCGAUGUAGUACAACCCUGUCUCAACUGGUACAGCAAGUACCGUGAACAGGAAGCUAUUCGUCUUUGCCUAAAACACUUCAGACAACACAACUAUACAGAGGCGUUUGAAUCGCUACAAAAAAAAACCAAGAUUGCCCUGGAACAUCCCAUGUUAACAGAUCUACAUGAUAAACUGGUGUUGAAGGGUGAUUUUGAUGCUUGUGAAGAAUUGAUUGAAAAAGCUGUAAAUGAUGGUUUGUUCAAUCAGUACAUCAGUCAACAGGAAUAUAAGCCACGAUGGAGUCAAAUUAUUCCCAAAAGCACCAAAGGUGAUGGAGAAGAUAACCGACCAGGAAUGAGAGGGGGCCACCAAAUGGUUAUUGAUGUUCAAACAGAGACCGUAUAUUUGUUUGGUGGCUGGGAUGGAACACAAGAUCUUGCUGACUUCUGGGCGUACAGUGUGAAGGAGAACCAGUGGACGUGUAUCUCUAGAGACACUGAGAAAGAGAAUGGUCCUAGUGCCAGGUCAUGUCAUAAAAUGUGCAUUGACAUUCAACGAAGGCAAAUCUACACAUUGGGGCGUUAUUUGGAUUCCUCCGUGAGGAACAGCAAAUCUCUGAAAAGUGACUUCUAUCGUUACGACAUUGACACAAACACAUGGAUGUUACUUAGUGAGGAUACUGCUGCUGAUGGAGGGCCGAAAUUGGUGUUUGAUCAUCAGAUGUGUAUGGACUCAGAAAAACAUAUGAUCUACACCUUUGGUGGUAGAAUUUUGACAUGUAAUGGCAGCGUAGACGACAGCAGAGCCAGUGAACCACAGUUCAGUGGGUUGUUUGCUUUCAACUGUCAAUGUCAAACUUGGAAACUUCUUCGAGAGGACUCCUGUAAUGCUGGGCCUGAGGACAUCCAGUCUCGGAUAGGACACUGCAUGCUAUUCCACUCAAAAAAUCGUUGCUUAUAUGUAUUUGGUGGCCAGCGAUCGAAGACCUAUUUGAAUGAUUUCUUUAGUUAUGAUGUGGACUCUGAUCAUGUAGACAUAAUAUCAGAUGGCACCAAGAAAGACUCUGGAAUGGUUCCAAUGACAGGAUUCACACAGAGAGCAACCAUUGAUCCAGAACUGAAUGAAAUACAUGUCUUAUCUGGACUCAGCAAAGACAAAGAAAAGAGGGAGGAGAAUGUCAGAAAUUCAUUCUGGAUUUAUGACAUUGUGAGGAAUAGUUGGUCUUGCGUCUAUAAGAAUGAUCAAGCUGCAAAGGAUAAUCCAAGUAAAAGUCUUCAGGAGGAAGAACCAUGUCCAAGAUUUGCCCAUCAGCUUGUAUAUGAUGAGUUACACAAGGUUCAUUAUUUAUUUGGUGGGAAUCCAGGAAAAUCUUGCUCUCCAAAGAUGAGAUUAGAUGACUUCUGGUCACUGAAGUUAUGUAGGCCUUCAAAAGAUUACUUACUGAGGCACUGCAAGUACCUCAUAAGAAAACACAGGUUUGAAGAAAAGGCCCAAAUGGACCCCCUUAGUGCUCUGAAAUAUUUACAAAACGAUCUUUAUAUAACUGUGGAUCAUUCAGACCCAGAAGAGACGAAAGAGUUUCAGCUCCUAGCUUCAGCUCUGUUCAAAUCUGGUUCAGAUUUUACAGCUCUAGGUGAGUUUUAUUCAGGCUUCCAAAGGUGGAGAAUGAUACCUGCUGUAGAAGGGCCCUUUGGUGUUUUCCUUUGAGACAGGGCCGAAAUAAAGAAGUUCUGAUGGAUCUCACAAAGUUUCCUGGAGAUGUUUCCAUUUUUAAGGAACACUGCCCCAGAAUCUGACUUACCAGACAGCAUUUAGAACCCAGUGCAGACGUGGGAUGAAGAGGACCUUUGCAGAUGCAUGGCUGUAUGGCCCUGGACACAGAUGUCUAGUGGCAAGAGCAAGCCAAGGCAAGGUAUUGGAUUCUGAAGUUGCCCUCAAAGGCUAGAGUCACCCAGUCUGGAUGCACCCAAAGGAGCAUCUGAACCAGCCCAAAGCUUCCCAAGGUUCUCCUUGGACAGAGCCACCACAAUCAUUCCUCUUAACCAAGUAUAAUUUUACUCUAGUCCCUGCCACACAUCAUCUCUCUGCCCAAGAGGCCAUGGGGCUGUAGCCUUUGAUCAGUUUGUGGAGGCAUACUGGCUGUCUCUGUCCAAAGACCUGGCUGGCUGGUAAAAUGUGACCCAGAAAGAGCAAAGGAGUAGAAUCCAGUCCUGGCCUCUUCGAAGAAACCCACAGGGUGGAAAGAAUCAAAUGUUGGCCAGGAAGGAAGCAAACAUCUCUUCCUGGUAUGACAAGAUUUCCUCUAUUUUUUCCCCCCACACUGGCACUGUUCUCUACCCUGCUGACCUCCAGAUGCUAGAGAAUCAGGGCAAAUACUUCUGGAUCCUUGUCAGUCUGGCAUCUCUCUAGCUUUUGGGAAACUCACCAGAGGCCCUACCUGAACACUAGGAUAUCAAAGGCCAAAGGCUAUGAAGACGGAAUCAAGGCAGCCAGGGAAGGACACAGAUCUUCCCCCAGCUAAGCUCCUUUAAAAAAUCAGCUGUCCUAAAGCAGGCUGCCUAUUUCAUCAGGACUCACAGCCUGGGCCUGCAGGUUCUGGGGUUCUGACCUCUUGCCCUGAAAUUACAGUUUUCACUCUCCUAAGCAGUUCUGCCCGUUCCCCUAGUUGGUGCCAGGAAAUUUCACCCAGGAGCAAAAGAGACUGUGGGCAAAGUUCCACAAAAUCUGGGAUUUGGGCUUCCCAGAAAAUCAGAUUAAACCUCACUCUGUCCA
Callorhinus ursinus (northern fur seal) is the source of this 3262-nucleotide non-coding RNA. The record is from RefSeq and is a predicted model, not a curated record. NCBI's taxonomy places the organism in Eukaryota, Metazoa, Chordata, Mammalia, Carnivora, Otariidae.